RNAcentral lists this ribosomal RNA (440 nucleotides) under uncultured bacterium. RNAcentral describes it as "partial 16S ribosomal RNA". It matches the Rfam family "Bacterial small subunit ribosomal RNA", at positions 338 to 795 of the family's 1533-position model. The record is from RNAcentral.
CCUACGGGAGGCAGCAGUGGGGAAUAUUGCACAAUGGGGGAAACCCUGAUGCAGCAACGCCGCGUGAGUGAAGAAGUAUUUCGGUACGUAAAGCCCUAUCAGCAGGGAAGAAAAUGACGGUACCUGACUAAGAAGCCCCGGCAAACUACGUGCCAGCAGCCGCGGUAAUACGUAGGGGGCAAGCGUUAUGCGGAUUUACUGGGGGUAAAGGGAGCGUAGACGGCAGCACAAGUCUGGAGGGAAAUCCCAUGGCUUAACCAUGGAACUGCUUUGGAAACUGUGCAGCUAGAGUGCGGGAGAGGUAAGCGGAAUGCGUAGGGUAGCGGUGAAAUGCGUAGAUAUUAGGAGGAACACCGAUGGCGAAGGCGGCCUGCUGGACUGUGACUGACGUUGAGGCCCGAAGGCGUGGGGAGCAAACAGGAUUAGAUACCCUUGUAGUC